CCUACGGGAGGCAGCAGUGAGGAAUAUUGGUCAAUGGACGUAAGUCUGAACCAGCCAUGCCGCGUGCAGGAUGACGGCUCUAUGGGUUGUAAACUGCUUUUGUGCGGGGGUAAAAAGCGAUACGUGUAUUGUGUUGUAAGUAUCGCACGAUUAAGGACCGGCUAACUCCGUGCCAGCAGCCGCGGUAAUACGGAGGGUCCGAGCGUUAUCCGGAUUUAUUGGGUUUAAAGGGAGCGUAGGCGGUUUGUUAAGCGAGCGGUGAAAUCCCCGGGCUCAACGUGGGAACUGCCGUUGAAACUGGCUUACUGGAGUGCGUGAGAGGAAUGUGGAAUUCCAGGUGUAGGGGUGAAAUGCGUAGAUAUCAGGAGGAACACCAGUGGCGAAGGCGACUAUCUGGAACGUAACUGACGCUGAGGCGCGAAGGCGUGGGUAGCGAACAGGAUUAGAUACCCUGGUAGUC
RNAcentral lists this ribosomal RNA (460 nucleotides) under uncultured bacterium. RNAcentral's name for it is "partial 16S ribosomal RNA". It matches the Rfam family "Bacterial small subunit ribosomal RNA", at positions 338 to 795 of the family's 1533-position model. The record is from RNAcentral.